UGAUGUAGAAGGCAUGUGGCCAGAUGAUGCAAUUGAAUACUGGUGUUUUAUUGUUACAAGUUCUGCGUCAUUCCAUAAGAAAGCUGCUCUUCUUUUGGUUUCAUAAGAGAUGGUGAACAAUGGGAAUGCAGGUUCGAUCCCUGGUUGGGGAAUGGAGAUCCCACAUGCUGCAGGGCAAGUAAGCCCCCAUGCCGCAACUACUGAGCCCACGUGCUCUGGAGCCCACGCGCCACAACUAGAGAGCCCACGGGGCACAGGGAAGACCCCAUGCACUGCAACGAAGAGCCUGCGUGCUGCACCUAAUACCUGACGCCACCAAAAAUAAACAAAUAAAUUAAUUAAGUUAAUUAAAUAAAAUAAUACGAGUG
Kogia breviceps (pygmy sperm whale) is the source of this 368-nucleotide non-coding RNA. The record is from RefSeq and is a predicted model, not a curated record. NCBI's taxonomy places the organism in Eukaryota, Metazoa, Chordata, Mammalia, Artiodactyla, Physeteridae.